CGCGUAGUGAGCACGCGCGUUGCAGCACCUCUCUCGUCGCUACCCGGCCGCCGGCCGCCCGCCGCCCGCCGCAAGCCACCCGAGCCUGGCCAAACUCUCGUCCCACCUUCUCCAGAAGCUCCGCCGCCAGCCCGUCGUCCUCCUCGUCCCCAGUCCCGUUCGCCGUUGCCGCCGCCUCGGCCUGACAGCUACCUACAGGGGAGAACUGAGGUCGCUUGAAGCGCUUCGUCCGACUCUUACCCAUGGCGACAGAGGCUGCGGUGGUAGAUCAGAGGAGGAAUACUGCAGCAGCAGUCGAUGGGGCCCGCCGGGCCCUGGGCAACUUCUAGUCUCCGACGUUACUUGGCGUCUCUCUUCAGCUGGUCGGAUGAGACGGUCUAGAGUUCUGUGCAGGGGCUGAAGUGCUGAAGUGACACUAAUACUGAACACAGGUAAUCAAAGGUACUGAGGCGCCAAGAGCUCGGCCAGCAUCGUCAAGAUCAUCUGGGGCUUGGUAUGGAAGGAGACAAAUGAUUCCUGAGUUUGC
This 526-nucleotide long non-coding RNA is filed under the name Rattus norvegicus (Norway rat). RNAcentral's name for it is "long non-coding RNA NONRATT014074". The record is from RNAcentral. Lineage: Eukaryota; Metazoa; Chordata; Mammalia; Rodentia; Muridae.